Bubalus bubalis (water buffalo) is the source of this 1410-nucleotide long non-coding RNA. RefSeq lists it as uncharacterized. The record is from RefSeq and is a predicted model, not a curated record. Lineage: Eukaryota; Metazoa; Chordata; Mammalia; Artiodactyla; Bovidae. The transcript is spliced from 2 exons.
UAGGUACAUAAGCCCAAUAAGUGUGUUCAAUCAAGUCAGCCUGAGCGGGGGAAGCGAAAGCAAGCAAAGCAAGCAUAGUGAAAAAAAUAUUUUCAGGAUUCUGAGGCAUUCCCUGUUGAGAAAUCAGAGUUUCAGCUUGAUUAGUAAGGGUUUUUAUCUGUCACCAAGUAGGGAGAUCAUGAGGUCGAUGACAUCGAGUGCAGUGUUUUUGGAAAUUUUUAAAGCUGCCAUGGCUUGUACUGGAAUUUCUUCCUCCUGGGGUUUUUGUUGUUUCAUCUCUAGUUUGAAUGUUGGGGGCCCCCUUAGGUCGAAUCUUCCGAAGAGGAAGCCAUGUGAGUUCGUUGGAUCCAUCUGGAGAAAUAGAAGCAUACCCCUUUCCCUGUAAGAUUAAUUUCCUAGAUUUCCAUUGAUUAGUUAACCCGUCUUGAUGCCAAAUGGGCAAAGGAAGGGAAGUAUCCUUCAAUGUCUCGAAAUGUUUUUCUGCUUUUGUCAAAUUAUCUCCUUGCAAAUUUAAAAAAUUUAAAACAAAUAAAGCUAUACUAACAAUAGUUACAGAAAGAAAGGAAAGAGAUAAUGAUGAAAACAUUACUAGGAAAUAUUUCAGUCCAAAAAAACAUCAUCUAGAGGUCAGUUUGGGGACUAGUAGAUAAUGUCCCCCAAAAGGACACUGAGAAGCUCUUAUUUUAAAUUGACCUUAACUCUUGACUACCUAAGCCUUUCCUCCUGAAUGUUGUUUCCAUGAAUUUACUUCCGUGUCAAAUGUAUGAGCCACCAUCUUGCUCAGCCAAUGCUAUUGUUUCUCUUUUUCACAUAUGUAAAUCAAACAGGCCCAAUUUUGGCUGUAAGUUAACUUCUUGGUCUUCGGGUAUCUUGGAACUGACAACACUGAUGUUGUUAGAGGUAGGUUUUUCUGGUUGAUACAGUUUAUGUCUCAUGUUUAACAGAUGGGACAGUCACUGACCUAAAACAAGACUUUGUAGACAUAAGCACCCAUUAAAAAUUUUUUUUUUUCAUUAGGCCCAGGUGUCGGUGGCAGAGUCUGUCUAACAUAGAGUUCAUCAGCUCCAACCAAGUGAAAUUACUGAAAAGCUGAUGCAGAACAACUUGACAAAUGGAACGCUGUUCAAGUCCAAAUGUCUGACCUUGUCCCUGGAAAAAAAAACACACCUGGCAGCUAUUGAAUCUCUCUGUUCAGUGUGUCAAGGAAGAUAAUUAUACUUUCAAGACAGACCUGAAAAGAAGAUGAAUAUUUUGCACUUUUGAUACUCUUAGGAACAAAUAACUUAUUUGGCAAAUGGUGUUUUUUUUAAUGUUGUUUUUGUUUUGUAUUGUGAAAUAGGCACUGAAGCUGAUGUUAUUUUGUUUUAAGAAUCUGACAGACUGGAAACAGAAAUAAAGCUAUAUUAACAA